AGAGUUUGAUCCUGGCUCAGAACGAACGCUGGCGGCGUGCUUAACACAUGCAAGUCGAACGGGAUCCAGAGCUUGCUCUGGUGAGAGUGGCGCACGGGUGAGUAACGCGUGGAUAACCUGCCCUGGUAUCCGGAAUAACAUCUCGAAAGGGGUGCUAAUACCGGAUAAGCCUACGGAGCCCUCGGUCUCUGCAGGAAAAGGUGGCCUCUAUUUAUAAGCUACCGUAUCAGGAUGGGUCCGCGUACCAUUAGCUAGUUGGUGGGGUAAUGGCCUACCAAGGCGACGAUGGUUAGCUGGUCUGAGGGGAUGAUCAGCCACACUGGAACUGAGACACGGUCCAGACUCCUACGGGAGGCAGCAGGGGGGAAUUUUGCGCAAUGGGGGAAACCCUGACGCAGCAACGCCGCGUGAGUGAUGAAGGCUUUCGGGUCGUAAAGCUCUGUCAGAGGGGAAGAAAUGAGAUUGGCUAAUAUCCAAUUUUCUUGACGGUACCCUCAAAGGAAGCACCGGCUAACUCCGUGCCAGCAGCCGCGGUAA
RNAcentral lists this ribosomal RNA (537 nucleotides) under uncultured bacterium. RNAcentral describes it as "bacterial SSU rRNA". It matches the Rfam family "Bacterial small subunit ribosomal RNA", at positions 8 to 523 of the family's 1533-position model. The record is from RNAcentral.